Molecule: ribosomal RNA, 301 nt
Filed under: uncultured bacterium
Lineage: Bacteria
Description: partial 16S ribosomal RNA
Rfam family: Bacterial small subunit ribosomal RNA
Source: RNAcentral
CAGUCGCCGCGGUAAUACGAAGGGUGCAAGCGUUACUCGGAAUUACUGGGCGUAAAGCGUGCGUAGGUGGUGGUUUAAGUCCGUUGUGAAAGCCCUGGGCUCAACCUGGGAAUUGCAGUGGAUACUGGGUCACUAGAGUGUGGUAGAGGAUAGUGGAAUUUCCGGUGUAGCGGUGAAAUGCGUAGAGAUCGGAAGGAACAUCUGUGGCGAAGGCGACUAUCUGGGCCAACACUGACACUGAGGCACGAAAGCGUGGGGAGCAAACAGGAUUAGAUACCCCAGUAGUCCCUGUCUCUUAUAC